UACGUAGGUGGCAAGCGUUGUCCGGAUUUACUGGGCGUAAAGAGCGUGUAGGCGGCCAAACAGGUCCGUUGUGAAAACUGGAGGCUCAACCUCCAGACGUCGACGGAAACCGUGUGGCUAGAGUCCGGAAGAGGAGAGUGGAAUUCCUGGUGUAGCGGUGAAAUGCGCAGAUAUCAGGAAGAACACCAAUGGCGAAGGCAGCUCUCUGGGACGGUACUGACGCUGAGACGCGAAAGCGUGGGGAGCGAACAGG
Molecule: ribosomal RNA, 253 nt
Filed under: uncultured bacterium
Lineage: Bacteria
Description: partial 16S ribosomal RNA
Rfam family: Bacterial small subunit ribosomal RNA
Source: RNAcentral